Molecule: non-coding RNA, 2669 nt
Organism: Doryrhamphus excisus (bluestripe pipefish)
Lineage: Eukaryota; Metazoa; Chordata; Actinopteri; Syngnathiformes; Syngnathidae
Source: RefSeq, a predicted model, not a curated record
UAUUAACAUUGCUAUUAAUUGCAUAUUAGCAUUGCCAAUAAUUGUAUCUUAAAAUUGCUAAUAAUGAAAUAUUAGCAUAAUAACAGUUCUGUUGCAUGAGAUCAAGUGUGAACAUUUCUUUAUAGCACAAUGGCGAUCUUAUAAAGCGUUUCAUGGUGUGUAUAAUUACAUAUUAUGAUCUGAAAUGCUAACACUGAUGAAGAAAUAUUGCAAGUAGCUGAGUAGAGAGUAAUAUGUAUCCAUAGUGUGAUUGAUGGUUAUGGAUUUAUUUUGCAAAUUUUUCAAACUACUCUGCUCUUCUGCUGAAAUCCGGCCAUGAAAGUACUACAAGUACUCACCAUAAUCAACCAUAAUAAUCACUCUGGGUUGUGAUAUUUCCUGCAUGUAGUAAGGAUGAUAUAGGUGUAUGAUAUUGUUGUACUGUGUACUGUGUAGUGUAACAAUGCCAGUCCCCAUGUACAUAUCUCUAUUCCAAAUAUUUCAUCAAGUAUAACUAGGAAAGACAAAAUGACCCCAAAUUAAGUAGGCGUGUUUCAUCCUUGUCCAAUGUGGUUUCCUUUGGAUGAACCUCUGAUGUCAAUUAUACUACGAGUACUGAUCAAUACAGUACAUGCUUUUCUCUCAUGUUGUUACGUUGGUGGAUCAUCAGGAAGUAUCACAGUGUCCUUCUAGCCAAGACCCCCACUCGGACUCUUCUAUCUGACUUUACAAAGUAUAAAGGGUAUGUAGGUUAGCCCACAGCUUUGGGAUAGAAGGAGGUGCUGGAUAGAAGGAGGUGUCGGAUAGAAGGUGUAGGACAGAAGGAGGUGCUGGAUAGAAGGAGGUGUUGGCAAGAAGGAGUUUGUGGACAGAAGGAGGUGUAGGACACAAGGAGGUGCUGGAUAGAAGGAGGUGUUGGAGAGAAGGAGUUUGUGGACAGAAGGACGUGUAGGAUAAAGGUGUAGGACAGAAGGAGGUGCUGGAUAGAAGGAGGUGUUGGAGAGAAGGACUUUGUGGACAGAAGGAGGUGUAGGAUAGAAGGUGUAGGACAGAAGGAGGUGUUGGAUAGAAGGAGGUCUAGAACGGAAGGAGGUGUUGGACAGAAGGAAGUGUUUGCUAGAAGGAGGUUUAAGACAGAAGGAGGUUUAGAAUGGAAGGAGGUUUGGACAGAAGGAAGUGUUUGCUAGAAGGAGGUUUAGGACAGAAGGAGGUUUAGGACUGAGGGAGGUGUUGGCUGGAAGGAGGUUUAGGAUAGAAGCAGGUUUAGGACAAAAGUAGGCGUUGGCUGGAAGGAGGUUUAGGAUAGAAGGAGGUGUGGGACAGAAGGAGGUGUUGGACAGAUGGAAGUGUUUGCUAGAAGAAGGUGUAGGACAGAAGGAGGUUUAGGACAGAGAGAGGUGUUGGUUGGAAGGAGGUUUAGAACAGAGGAGGUUUAGGACAGAGUGAGGUGUUGGCUGGAAGGAGGUUUAGAACAGAGGAGGUUUAGGACAGAAGGAGGUGUUGGACAGAUGGAAAUGUUUGCUAGAAGGUUUAGGACAGAGUGAGGUAUUGGCUGGAAGGAGGUUUAGAACAGAAGGAGGUGUUUGCUGGAAGGAGGUUUAGGAAAGAGAGAGGUGUUGGACAGAAGGAGGUGUAGGACAGAAGGAGGUGUUGCAGGUAGAGUAGAUGACGGUUGCUAGCCCAUAGCCCAUCGGUGGAUAGCAGGGUGCUAUCAUGGUGUGGUUAGGUUUCCUCCCCCAUGCACCAAGUGAAAGUGUGUAUUGCAGCAGGCUAUUCUCCCUGUUGCUAUGGUAAUAGGCAAGUAAAAAAAACAUGUUUUGGCAUUUUGAGCGCCAUGCUUUUUACGUCCUCUGAGCUCUUCCACCCCCAUUGUUUACACUUAGCUCUUUUUGCCGACUUGCACUUUUUAUUAUGCAUAAUGCACCCUCCUCUUUAGUCUGCCAUUAAUUGCUAAUCUUCACAGGUCUCAGAGAAAAAGCAGAUUUAAGUGCAAUACCCCUGCAACAAAUCUUCUAUACCCUUCAUGCUUGAACAGUUUUGGUUGAGCUGGUCAAUGACAACUUUAUUUCACUUUCUCUACAUCAUCAAGGAAGUUGUGAUGUAUUUCUUCAAGCUUGACAUUUACCAACAAGACACUGUACGUAUUUCACCAUACGUAAUAAGACUUUAUUCGUCUUCAAAUGUGCUUGACUUGAACUCAUCAAGUCCCUUAGUGGCUAUAGCCUGUCAUGUGACCAUAACAGGAUGACCGUUCCUCAGUUUUGUCCGUUUUUUUUUUUUCUUUUUUUACCUUCAAAGCUAAUUCUACAGCCAUUAAUGCAAGGGUGGGACAUAUUACAAUUCAGCUCUUCUUAUUGUACUUCCUCAAUGAAGUAAUAGAAAAGAAGCUGCAGGAAGUAGCUAGCUUUUAUCUUUAACCCAUGAAAAAGAAGCCAUAAGAAGCCAUGGUGUGGCCCCAAUAUGGCAGCCUAUCACAGCAGGAAUGGAAUCACUCCUAUUAGAAACGCUUGACCUCAUGCCGUGUCUCCAAAGCCGAGGUCACAACUCGUCACAAGCUGCAUUUUUUGAUUCAUGGUUUGUUUAAUUGUGGUGACCAUGAAGGAGUAACAUCACCGUGCACCCAACGUACAGUCCAACAUGCGACAUCUGACGCUGCUUGGGCUUGCAAUAAAAGAACUAACCUGUCGUUA